GGGGUCAUCCAUAAUUGUCAACCAUUUUCCAAAGUGUACAAAACGUACACUUUUUCAGACCCCCCACCCUCCCUCAAAAAGUGUACAUGAACCAUUUUCAGAUUUCAAGAGAAGAAUCAGUCAUUCUUAAUAAAAAGAAGAUCCUGUCUAUUAUAUUUUAGUUUAAUAUAGAAAUUUGCAUUGAAAAAAAACUAAAACAUAUCUGACUUUUUUAUUUGAUGACAUCUAUGAUGCUUGUGUUUUGUCAGAAUAAAGAGUACAAAAAAUAGUGUUUCCCCUAUCACACAGUGGGAAUGGUAACUCCAAUAAAAAAAGGGCACCUAGAGCAUGCAAAAGAUUAUCAAAAGGGCACAUAAAUUAUGCUAAGAAUCGAAGAAAGGGAAAUGCAUGGUUAUAUUGCAUUUGUAAAGUAUGGACUGACAGUUGUUGAUGGAAUCAAAGCUCAAGACAGUAAUCAAUAAAAGUGUAAUAUUUUAAAACAUUUUGAGUUUUUAAUUUUCCCGCCUGUAUAUUUCUAUUUACAUGAUUUAAAAGGUCCCUGUAAAUAUGCCAUUCAUGGCACUAUUAUCGUUUAUGUAUAUAUACUGUAACGUGUACAUAUAUUGGAUAUUUUUUAAGUUAAGUUUUAACUUCAUAUGGAGGUGCUCCUAAUUAAAGGAGGCUUAUACUAAGAAAAAAUCAGUUUACUUCCGGUUUACUGGUUGACUAUUUUGGAAUGCAUUACAAGGAAAUUAAUCGAAGGACCAGUUUAAAAUCUUUUCACAAAAUGACGUCUUGUCAAAAUCAAAACAUUCAAAGAAUUUAGCAUGUUAGUGUUUCCAUCAAUUUUGUUUAUUAAACAGAGUAAAACGAUAUCGAUCAAUAAUAAAGCAGGUGAAAAAGACAAUCAGGGGUACUGAGAAAUGCUUGCAAACUUUUUGUUUAAAUAAUUUUACUAGUUCAUAUUUUUGAAAGAUUUAGUUUUCAUAUGAUUUGAUCUUGUAAUCGUUCAAUCCCGAAGAGUAGAAUUAUGAUAUCGAAAUCAAUAUCAUCAAGUAAAAAUAAUAAAGAAGAAAUUAGAAGAGAAACACACCCAAGCCAAUUCUCGUUUUUAUAAAUCAACUUUCCCUACGGAAACGAUAUAAAUUCCGGAAAUAAAAAAAAAAGCGUACGGUAAAAAUGUUGAUUUUUUAACCCCCUCCCCCCAAGUGUACGUUUUGUACACUUUGGAAAAUGGUUGACAAUUAUGGAUGACCCCUUAAA
Molecule: long non-coding RNA, 1242 nt
Filed under: Mytilus galloprovincialis (Mediterranean mussel)
Lineage: Eukaryota; Metazoa; Mollusca; Bivalvia; Mytilida; Mytilidae
Source: RNAcentral